AGUAAUUAAUAGUUUAAUACUUAAUUUGAUUGAGUAAUUUUUUAUUAUAUUAAUUGUAUUUGUUUUUUUAAUAUUAUAAAGUUUCUUUUAUAAUAUUAUACCUUAUCUUGUGCUUCCUUAUAAUAGAUAAUUGUAGGAAUUUUGUAUUUUAUAUUUAUCAUUUAUAAAAUAUAACAUUAUGUCCAUGGCGUGUUGUGUCUUAUUUUUUAUUGUUAUGUUGUGUCGCAGUGUUUGUGCCAUGUCUGUGUUCAUGUGUAUGUGUUCGUGCUUCAUGGGUUUAUCCUAUUUCUUUGUUAUAUAUCUCAUUUCCAAAUGUGCUAAGUUCUUAGACUUAUGAUGCAUCAUUUAUUCUUUUUUGUUUAGAUUUUUAUCAAAACAUUUCCUAAGGAUUUGGUGUAUAGUUUAAAAAGCCAAAAAAACAAAAUACUCAUCAUCAGUUAGUUAUGUAGUUUAUUUAAACAUCUUAGGGUCUGUGAAUUUUUUUGAUACAGAUCUUAGAUGAGAUUCACAAAAUUUGGCGAGUAAGGUCAAAUUUGCGCGCAAUGAACUUUUAUUAAAAAUUAAUUGUCCCUUUAGUUUAUAUUAAAAAAAUUGAAAGAAUCUUGACAAAUGAUUAUUUAAGCAUUGUUUAACAAAAAUCCUGCAUAGAUAUUAAGGAUCAUAAAAGAGUCGUAUGUUCGAUCUUUAACUCACUCUAUGAAAAAAAUUUAGAUUGUUUGACCUUUGACAAUAUUUAAUCACACAUGCAAUCAUAACUAAAAUAAAAGAAUGGGAAAAGAGCACAGGAAAGAUAUCACCGAAUUACAAUUAAAGCCUUGCACUAUUACAAGAAGAUAACUUCAAAAAGAAAUAGGUUAUCUCCAAUUGCAACAUGCUAGAAACAAUCACAUCCAACUAGUAAUUAUGCAAAAUGGAAGCAACAUUAUUCAGUAGACUAUUAAUGUUAGUUUUAUAUGUAUGAUGAACCUUUUUAACAGCCAUAAGUUCUAUAUUUAUACUGAAUAGCCUCAAGAUUGUUUGAUAUACAUUAUUUUAGUGUCCUAUGAUGGCCAAUUAGUCUAUUAUUUUGUACCAUCGACACUAUGUUGAAAGAUAACUUACAAUGAUUUUUAAUGUACAUUCUGUCUACUUUUCAGUCCUAUAUUUCUUCUACUAGAACUUCAAAGUUCAAGCUUUUUGUUACACUUCCUAAUCAAUGGUAACUUGUAAACGAAAAGAAUAUAAAGUUGACGUCCUACCCUGUGUCAGAGCUUGUGUGCAAGAAUAAUUUUCAUUCUUAUAAGUUUUGUGAUUACCUUAAAGUAGCUGUUGUUUUUUUUUUUAUAAUUUUUUUAAGUGCAUGCAGAUGCAUAGUUGUGCGCUCAAAUUUCAUUUCUGAUUAUAAUUGUAAUUUCUAGAUCACUGCAUGCGGUGGCCAUUCAUUUGCUGUGUAAGUGAUAGGGUAUUUCAGCAUUUGCAAAAUCAGACUUCAGGUAUUGUACUGGUAAGGCUAUUGUGCAUCCCCAGUCUUCAAAGGUCAUAUUGGUGAAGCAUUAUGCAUUGGAUAUGGCUUCUUUAAAACUAAGUCCUUCAGAACAUCAGACAUUUAUAUUUAUAGGUUAAUCUCCUUAUUUUAGUACUAAACUGCUUAUUUCUCUGCUGAUUACUCUUUUACUUUAUCUCCAUGGUUAAAUAAAUUACUCUUGAGACAGAUAUUAUAAUACUAUAAUAUAAGUUAUCAACGUAGCUGUCUAUAUGCAGUGAUGUGGAUUUAGUUGUAAAUUAGCUCGGGAUUUAAUGAACAUAAAAUCUGCAAUAUUAGCAAUGAAGAAUUGAAGUUGGAAGAUGCCUAAUUGUGUGUAUUUUUUAUCGAAGUUCAAGAGAACUGACUGUAUCGUGUUGUGUCAAUUUCUAUAAUUCCUCAUUGAUCACUUUUUUCAACUCUUAACCUUCUUUUUUGUGUAGGGUGUUCUGAGUCCAAAAACAUUAUCAAAUUUUGAGUGUCAGGGAGAUUUGUGUUAGUGUAGCUGUUUCAGUUCGUGAUGUUUGCAAGGACAAUUCGACAGGGGUGUUGACCUCAUACUUUCUGUGUCGUCAUGCAUUGAGAGUGAAGAUUCCACUGUGAAAGCUCUUGGCCUACAUAGUCUUUCUUCGCUCUGUGAAGCUGAUGUUGUUGAUUUCUAUACAGCAUGGGAAGUUGUUGCAAAACAUGUCAACACUUACACUGAAGAACCUGUUGUUGCAGC
This is a long non-coding RNA of Dendrobium catenatum, 2225 nucleotides long. RefSeq lists it as uncharacterized. The record is from RefSeq and is a predicted model, not a curated record. Lineage: Eukaryota; Viridiplantae; Streptophyta; Magnoliopsida; Asparagales; Orchidaceae. The transcript has 4 exons.